This 274-nucleotide unclassified non-coding RNA is filed under the name Hevea brasiliensis (rubber tree). The record is from RNAcentral. Lineage: Eukaryota; Viridiplantae; Streptophyta; Magnoliopsida; Malpighiales; Euphorbiaceae.
CAGAAUUUCUCUCUUCAGUGGAAACAAUGUGUUUACUUCUAGAACAUGCUAUGGCAUAUGAAGGCACCGUGGAAUUGCAUUCCACUUCUUCAAAGGCAUUAAUUACAAUCGCAUCUUAUCUUCCAGAGAUGAUGGCAUCACAUUAUGGAUCUAGAAUUUCAUGGCUAAAGCAAUUAUUGAGUCAUGUAGACUUAGAUACACGUGAAUCUUCAGCACGCCUACUUGGCAUAGCUUGCUCUGCUCUUCCUAGUCCUGCAUCAUCAGAUCUUAUAUG